UUUCGCUCCUAGGAUACCCCCACCCCCAUGCCGUAUUCCUAUUCUUACCCCACGAGCACUAAGAUUACUCAAAUGCCCCGGCGCAGUUUGAAACUUUGCUCUCUUCCGCUCACCCUCCUGACAUCCUAUUCCUCGAACGCCCCUCCCGCCCCCUCCUCCACCUCCUCUCUCCGGCGGAUUCCGGCUGCCAGAGUUCGAUCCCCUCCGGAUUCUGAUGAUCUGAUGGCAUUAGGUUAUAUAUAUUGACUGCUAGCUAGGCCUGAGUACAUGUUGGAAAAGGAUAUUGGGAAGAUGGUAUAGAGCUCACUAUCUUCUUAUGCUGCUUUUCGACUGAAGGCAUUACAAAACCUGUGUGAACAUCUUCAGGAGUUGGAAAGCCAACUGGGUGCGGACUCUAUCAAUAAGAAUGCAAAUAAAUAUCCAGAAGAUGUAACAAAUGGAGUGCUUGAGGCUCCUGGUGCAGAUGACACUAACAUCUGUGGGGGAAUUAUUCAGUUGCAUCAGAAUAGUACUUUGAAAAGAUGCUUGUAUGUGAAUUAAUGAACAAGUUCUUCAGUCUGCUUUUGAGGUAUUCUUCUUUCUUUGAAAUCCAUUUGGGGCAUGGCCUCCAGAUGUCAUGUAAGUCUGCCCAAUCCAUUGCAAGCAACCAAACUACAGUAUCAGGAAAUGUGAGACAAAAAUCUGAUGGAAAUUCCAUGGCAUUUGUUAGGACAGGAAUAUCUCAAAUAACAGGCUUAUUCGAGGAAAUCAUGUUUCAAGAAACAAAUUUAUGUACUCAAUGAUGCAGAAAUUUGAGUCUGGUGGCUGGAAUUAUUCAUCAGUUAGCUUUCUUCUAUGAGUAUCUGAAUAUCAUGCAUAUGCUAGAUUGUAAUUUAAUCAGCAUUGGUGCGGAAAAGUAUAUCUCCUUUUUCCAGAUAUCGCAUGGAAAUUCUUGCAUCUCUUUCAUUUAUUUGCCCUGAUGAGCCUCUUUACUUGAUUUAUGAUAUCAAUCGAGUAAUAUAAGUUAGGGCUGGAUCUCUUGUAAAAAAUAUGAAAAUCUGGAUUUCCUUCUCACAGCUAUGGUAUUCUUUAAAGCUCCAUAGCAAAAAUCUAAAUAUGGAUGCUGAAUCUAGGGUGAAUCAUUUAUCUAAGCAUAGCAUGAUAACGAAUCCUGAAAGCAUGUCUAAUAUUGCAUGUAUUUCAAAAGAGGAUCUAUAAAAGUUUCAAGUGAUCACACUUUCUAUUUCUUUCAGUCAGUUAACAGUUGCAAUGGUUUUGACAGAUGCUAAGCAUUCAAAUUUUCUGUUUGCUUCUAUUAAUUUUCGGUGUUUGGCUUCAGAAGGAUGAGAAUCAACUGCACAUUGAACCAUUGUCUCUGUUUUUGUCAAUGGGCUAUUUAUAUUGAAGCUUCCAUUUCUAUGUUGCUUUCAUAUUUUUCCCAUAUAUGAUUUAAUGUGGUUUUGUUCUUUUAUGGAAGUCGCGGAUUGUCAUUUGGCCAUAAUCGUAGUGCUAUUUUAUUGUUAUCUUAGUCUCAUUUACAAAUUAUUUACUAUUGGUUAUUGACAUUUUGUUUGUUUUUUCAGGCUAAUUGCCAUGAUGCAAUAGCUCUGCAACUCCUGAAAUAAAUGAUGCCCGGUGCUAGGCUUGUUCUUUUGUUAACUUAGUAGUCAUUUCUUGCCUGUUCUUUGUAGCUGCAGAGCAUGUACAUCAAAUUAUCUUGAGCCAGUUAAUGAAAUCUCUGUUUCUUUCCAAAUUAGGCAUUUUCUCUAAAGGAACAUCCAAAGCAUGGAGAUAUGAUAUCUAAACAAAAUAUUUCCUUCAACAUCCAUGAUGCUCCAGCCAAUUUGCCUACUUCCUAUGAAUAUAUGGUUCAAAAAUACCGGGUUUGCCACUAAAACUUCAGAUUUCUUUAUUUACACCCUGUAUUUCUGCACUACCAAUAUUAUAGUCUCAUAUUUUUCACCAUGAAGUGUUUGGAACUUCUGGACAUUUGGUUGUCGUUUUUCCUAUCUAAUGUUGAAAACCUAUUUUGUUGGACAUAAAUCUAUCAAUAAUUUGGUCAGUCUUCAGCUUCACAUUAAUGUAAAUAUGCUUUCAUUUUAUUGGCUAAUUAGUCAUAUAACUAUAGAGCAAUACUUGGGUGAAAAUAUUUCAUGUUGCAUUUCCCUUUUCCCAACCAUGGCCCUGUUAAUGACUGGGCUUUAGAUGUUUAAAUCUAUCAUCUUGUAGUGUUGAGCUUUUCUCGUGCCCCUAACAAUAAAAAAAGAUUCCAGAUUGCACUAUGCAGGAGUUCGAGUGGUUGCUUUAGGAAAGAUGCUAUAAAUUAUGCUCCAUGCACAGCUAAUGUCAAGAGGAAACGCCCUACUCCAAAAAGUUUGAGAGAUGGAAAAGGACUGUGGGAUAAAGGUGAAGAUGAUGAGCAUGGACAAGAUGAUAAUGAUGAUUGGACAGGAGGGCCAUGAAGGAUCGACUUUAGCAACUAAAUGAGCAAUGGUGGCAGGUUACCAGACGGUGAUGGUAAUUUUAACAGGUUCAGCAUUACCGUACAUCAUAGGAUUCUAGUGAAAUGGGAGGGUUGGGGUGGGGAACUGUUCAAUAGUGUCAAUAGCAAUGACUAGGAAGCUUGAUUGUAGGGUCCCCUUUUUUUCUUUUUUUAUGGUAGCAAGACUAUUCAACUUGUGCUCCAGUUUCAAAGUGAUCAAUUUUUUUUUCUGGUA
Elaeis guineensis (African oil palm) is the source of this 2696-nucleotide non-coding RNA. Lineage: Eukaryota; Viridiplantae; Streptophyta; Magnoliopsida; Arecales; Arecaceae. The record is from RefSeq and is a predicted model, not a curated record.